GCGGGUGUAGAUUAACGGUAAAUUAUUUGCCUUCCAAGCAAAAGAUAAGGGUUCGAUUCCCUUCACCCGCA
RNAcentral lists this transfer RNA (71 nucleotides) under Rickettsiales bacterium. Its description in RNAcentral is "tRNA-Gly". It matches the Rfam family "tRNA". Rfam says of the family: Transfer RNA (tRNA) molecules are approximately 80 nucleotides in length. Their secondary structure includes four short double-helical elements and three loops (D, anti-codon, and T loops). Lineage: Bacteria; Pseudomonadati; Pseudomonadota; Alphaproteobacteria; Rickettsiales. The record is from RNAcentral.